UACAGAGGUGGCAAGCGUUGUUCGGAUUUACUGGGCGUAAAGGGUCCGUAGGCGGUUUGGAAAGUCGAAUGUGAAAUCCCACAGCUCAACUGUGGAACUGCAUUCGAAACUUCCAGACUUGAGUGUGAGAGGGGUGAAGGGAAUUCCCGGUGUAAGGGUGAAAUCUGCAGAGAUCGGGAGGAACACCUGUCGCGUAGGCGCUUCACUGGCUCACAACUGACGCUGAGGGGCGAAAGCUAGGGGAGCAAACGGG
Molecule: ribosomal RNA, 253 nt
Filed under: uncultured bacterium
Lineage: Bacteria
Description: partial 16S ribosomal RNA
Rfam family: Bacterial small subunit ribosomal RNA
Source: RNAcentral